AAGUGUUAACCUUCAGCACUUAUUUAGCUUUUUCUAAGGUUACACAUGAUACUUUUUGGAGGGUGGGCCUAUCUCUUUUAGGAGCCGGCCUCUGGCGGGUCAUAUACUCCUCUAUGAAAGUGUGAAAACUUUCGGAGUGUAUUCUUCCAAACUAAAGGUUGCUAGCACUAUUAGGUUAGUUGGUUAAAAAUAUUUAUUUUAGCAGUACUGUUAAAGCCCCUACUCAGUGAUUAAUAUUAAAUAAAUAUGGACACAUAGUUUUAGUUAUAGAAAUUAAGGAAGGGUAAGAAAGUGCCAGCACCCGCGGUCACACUUUCUUCUUAAGUUAAAUUUUUUGUGGUACAGAAAAAGAGGAUAAUUAUUUAGGGUGAUAUCUCUUUCUACUUCGGUGAAAUGUGUAGGUUUAGGGAGUUUCGCGGCCCCUGACUCUUAAGGCUGAGAAGGCUAGGAAACAGACGGGGAUUAGAUACCCCCUUAUUGAUGCUAUCUUAAAACCGCGAUUAUUAUAAACCAGGAUUGUUUAAAAUUUAAAAAGGUUGGCGGUGCUUUAUACCCAUUGAGGGGAACUUGGCGGUUAAUUCGAUGAUCCCCGAUAACUUUACCUCUUAUUUUCUUUACAUACCGCCGUUGUCAAUAUUCUUUUUAUUAGGGUAGUUGGGUGUGGGGAAUACCGGUUUGGUUCUAUUUGAAUUCAGGUGACGUGUAGGUUAUUAAUAGGGCUUUGCUGAGUUACAAUUUUUAAAAAAUACGGAUGUUUUACUUGAAACAGUAGGCUGAAGGUGUACUUCUUAGUAAUUUUUUAAUUGAGGAAAGAUGAAUUGAGUAUAUAAAGUGCGUACAAAUCGCCCGGUGCCCCUGUAUAUUAAAUCUGGGUAAGCCGUAACACAGUAAUGCUACCUUAAGGUGGUUUUAACUAGGCCUGAGAGGGUUGG
This 932-nucleotide ribosomal RNA is filed under the name Xyloredo nooi. RNAcentral's name for it is "12S ribosomal RNA". Lineage: Eukaryota; Metazoa; Mollusca; Bivalvia; Myida; Pholadidae. The record is from RNAcentral.